UACGGGGGGAGCAAGCGUUGUUCGGAUUUACUGGGCGUAAAGGGCGCGUAGGCGGCGGGACAAGUCACUUGUGAAAUCUCCGGGCUUAACUCGGAGCGGCCAAGUGAUACUGUCGUGCUAGAGUGCGGAAGGGGCUACUGGAAUUCUCGGUGUAGCGGUGAAAUGCGUAGAUAUCGAGAGGAACACCUGCGGCGAAGGCGGGUAGCUGGGCCGACACUGACGCUGAGGCGCGAAAGCUAGGGGAGCGAACGGG
RNAcentral lists this ribosomal RNA (253 nucleotides) under uncultured bacterium. Its description in RNAcentral is "partial 16S ribosomal RNA". It matches the Rfam family "Bacterial small subunit ribosomal RNA", at positions 524 to 776 of the family's 1533-position model. The record is from RNAcentral.